GCUCAUCCUGUCCCCACCCUCCAUCCUCACUCCUCACUGGCCACUUGUCGCUCCGCUGCGACCUGGACCAGAAGACCGUGGUAGGCUAGGGUGGGACAACCCCCGCAGGUGACGGUGCUGCAGGCAGCGCUGAGCUGGGGCGGCUCAGCCUUGGUCACAUUGAAUGCUGGGGAAGGGGGCGCGGGACACCCAGCUGAAAAUCGAAAAAGAACCUCCAGAGGGAAGGGUCAUAGGUGUCUGUCAGUCGUGUUUUACACCAGAAAGGACUUGUAAACGUUGUUCUUUUAAAAAUAACCUACCGGGAAUAAUGGGUUUCUGAUUGCUCCUUAUCUGUUAUCUUGCACAUGGUCGUUUUACACACAAGUUCCAAAGUUGAACUGCUUUAAACUUUACAGUCUUUGAAGCUGCAACAUCGCCAGUACAACGCACUUGUCACUUCAGGACUUUUUGUGCUUGGUUGGUAAUAUAAUGAUUAGCAUAAUAAGGAUAUUUGGGGCAGUUUUCCCUAUACUUCAUAGAAUUAACUUUUCAUUUAGGUUAGAAAAUUAUGUCUGGUUUCCAAAACGAUUACAGAGCAAUUUUCUUUCAAUGAUAACACACAAUGAUUAAGUAUACUUUGUUAAGUCUUUUGUUGUUACAAUAUACGAAAACCAGAUUAGUCUGAUAAAUUAAGUGGCUUUUUUUUUCUUUUCUUUUUCUCCCCUUUCCCUCCCUCCCUCUGUUUCUUUUAUUCUUUCUUGCUGCUGGGAAUUGAACCCUGAGCCACUUGAAUGCAAGGCAACUAAUUAACUAAUUUAUUUUCUUUCUUUCUUUGCUUCCUGCUUUUCUUUCCUUUUUUCUUUUUUCUUUCCUUCUUUUCUCUCAUUCCCUCCCUCUCUUCCUUCCUUCUGCUCUCCUUCCCUCCCUUCUUCUUUUCCUUCUUUUCCCUCCUUCUUUUUAAGAGAUUAAAAAUAUACAAAAGAGCCAAACCAAUAGAUUAGCAGGCUUUUGAUGACGGAAAUAUAGAAUGUCAUCUUAAAAGGACCUUGGAGUACUUUCAGUUCCAGACUUUUAAUUUACAAAUGAAAACCUGAGGUCCAGAAGUGUUCUGUGACUUGAUUAAAUCACUCAAGGCUGCACUGGUGACUCUUUGCUCUAAUCUAUGUGAACUCAGCAAAGCCAACGCAUGCCUUUUAAGUACAAAAACAUAUUUCAUUAAAAUUAGCCAUCCCUCCCAUUUGUUAAUGUCUAGCAGCUUUAAACUGGCCCAAAGGACAGGAUCUCACAACACAGAAGUUAUACUUCUUGGAAGAUUCUAGCCUAGAGGUAGGAAGGUGCUGGUUCAUCAUGACUUCACCAGAGUUUGGCAUAUAGUAGGUCCCCGUUAUAUAUUGGCUAUUCAAAAAUUGCUAAUAGAAAAAUGUAUCUGUCUGGAAACAAGGUGACAGCAUUGAGGAAUGAUCCCUGGCUCCUUCUCCAGCCCUCUUUCAAUGGAGCCUGUCACAAAAAGUGGCAAGAAGCCCAAGGUCCUUGUGCCUAGGAAGAUUCCUCAUCCUUCUCAGAGCCACCUGAACCUGCUUGUUGGGAAUUCUCUGGGUUUCCUUCAAGCACACUCUGACAGCAGGCCCUUUGCAGUUCUCUUCUGUCCUCUAGCCUGGAUGGGAUGUGUGGUCAUAUGCUAAUGCCUCCAGUGGGUACACUGAUUGCAUUUGCUUACUCUGUGCUCUUUUUAUACCUUAAGGCAGUUAUCUUUUGUGAGAGUUAAGAUUUACCUUGGGAACUGAAACUCGUGUCUGAGUUUUCCACUGACAAUUUCAAAAGAAGGCUAAAUACAGACAGGGGUGUAAGGAAAAAUUUUAAUGCCCUGCUACUUUAAUCAGUUGCCAUUGGUUUAAAAAUCAAAUUUUAGAUGAUGAUGCUGUUGGCCAUAAAGUAAGUACCUACCUACCAGGUAUUGUGACAGGCACGUUUGAUGCACCGUUCAUCUGAUCUUUAUAACAAUCUUUUAAAGUAGGUGUUGUUGACAUGGAGCCAUUGUCAUCAUCUCUUUUUAACAGAUAAAAUUAAUGAGGUUUCAAAGAUUAUGUUUUGUGUCCAGAAUCUCACAAUUAUUAAAGUUCCAGGAUUAGGAUCCAAACUCUGAGCCUCAAGGCCCCCUCUCAGGUGCUGUGGAAUAAUGCCUCCAUCCUAACAUUGCUCUCAGUUUUCUGCUUCACUUUCUUUUGGACAUCAGGUCUCAAGUCUCAUGAUGCUCUAUUAUUCUCUGACCAUAUAGUCCUACAAUUGGAAACUCUUUAAUAUGAAGAUUGGAUCUUAUAUAAUAAUCAUCAUAUGUCCUAGAAAAAAUGUUUUGUUUUGUUUUGUUUUUGUCUUAGAAUGUUAUCUAAAACAAACAAACAAAAAUCCAAAUCUUUUUCUGGAACACAUUGGUGGAGUGGGAACCCUGCACUUUUGGACCCCAGCAUCCUGCAGGACCAUCCUUCCCCUCUCCAGGUUGCAAGGCUUUUCAGCUUUUUCUCACUGUUUCACACACACGCAGAUGAUCAGAAGUUCACACCUUGGUUUCCUGGAAGAGGAAAUGGCAUUUCCGGGAGGGGAUAAUGCGUGGGUGCUAAAGUUCCACUCCCUGCCUUAAACACACCCCAACUUUCAGUUGCGCACUUCUUUUCCUCCUUAGGUCUUUGCCCUAAAGUUUCCUGGAAUCAUGCUGAGUGCACCUGCUUCAUUAGGUUCUCUUCAGCUGAGAAAGAUGUGAUUCCUGCUUUGGACUCAGUCGCUCAAGAUUCCCAGGCGUCUUGUCCCUGCAGCUGUCACAAACCACUUUCCUCCAACUUGGAAUCUGGAAGAGAGCCUUAGACAUCACUUGGUGUACUUUUGGAUCUAGUGGGUGACUAUGCUGUGAUUUCCAUGGAAACCACCUCUUAUACCCUUCUGUGGGAUUAACCUUUCUUAAGGGACUUAGGAUAGAAAUUGCAAAGGAGUUGUUCUUGUUUGAGCCUCAAUGUGGAGAAGGAUGGUAUUUGGGGAGAAGUAGGAUAUGACUGACAAUUGGAGGACAGUGCUAUUUAACAAGAACUUCUCUGUCUUUGCACAAGUCACCAUUUGGAGGAAGCCAAUUUGGACUAUUUUAUGAGGAAUUUGAUCACCCAGCUAUCCAUUUCCCCAAAGUCUGCCAGAAAUUGUUUUAAAAAAUGUCACACCCAAGUCCCCUGAAGAAUCCACAUGGAAUUCAAGGAUGGUGAUCUGCUGUAACCAAAGAUUUCAGUAACAUCUGAAGUUUGGCAUACAUUUAUUUGGAAAAUGUAAAAAUUAUUUUAGAAGAUAUUGAUUCAAAUGAGCUACAGAGAUGCAAACAAAAACAGACAGAUGGUUAGAAUGACGUGGUUGCUCUAAAUAGAACUCUCUACUUUUCACUGAAGGACAAAAAUUACUCCCACAUACAAAAGAAAAAAGAAAAACACCUCAAAGAAGGAAUCAUGAUACUGUUUCAAUCUGCCCUGAAAACACCACAGAAACACUUCGACUUUUUAUGCUUUUUUUCAUCUGCAACUGGUUUUAAGCAACUUUUCAUCAAGACUAAAACAAUUGACACUGAACUGCCAGAUCAAGUAAAUAAAUCUGGGGUUACGUGACUUGGGGAGGGCUGCAGAAAUGUGAAUUAAAUCUUAAUCACACUAAGAAAGUUUUUUACGGCUCCCAAAGCCAGAAUGCUAUUCUUUGAGAAUCUUUGCACCCUGUGAUUUAACCUGCCAAGGACACUUAAAGAAUUUAAGAACUCAAGAAGUGUCCAGGGUAAGACUCAGCAAGGUGCACCAAGUCUGGCUGCCACAACUGUGCUAAGAAGAUUUGGCUUUUCCCAGGGAUAUAGUAGGAACCUGAGCAAAGGAAACAAAAUGAUAAAUAAACUGAAAGUUUUUAAACUUACAUUCUCAAGUUUAUGCUCUUUUGUCUACUCAACAGAGUAGCAAAGCACUAAAAGGGUUUUUAGAAAACUCUUGUACAUGAAUAUUUCCCCCAAACUUCUCUGUAUGUUUUUUUUUUUUUUUCCAGAAUCAUACUUUUUCUUUUCCUUGCAAUUGUAUUUUGAUAGAAUGCAGAUCUCUUCCAUGGUUCUCAACUUAAAUUCUUCCUUUUAUUUCCCAACUAUGAGAGAAAAUUCCAAAAAUUCCAAGCCAUACUUUGUAAUUCCUUGAACAUAGUGGAUCCAUUAUGUACAUUAUAGAGAGGGUGUGGAGAAAGUGGAAUUCUCAUGCAAAUUAGUACAACUUUGGAAAAUUGUCUCACAAUAUCUGCUACAGCUGAACAUAGCGCCACCAGUGACCCAGGCAGAUCAUAUGUCCACAAGCUACAGAAAUGUGUCCAGAUGCACUAAAAGACAUGUACAGUUCAUCCAUCCUAGUAUUGUUCAUAAUCACCUCAAACUGGAAGCAACCCAAGUGCAUCGUGAAAUUGUGGUUCUUCAAUCAAUUGAAUCCAUGCACAGAAGAAUUAACACAAGAAUGCCAUAUGCCACUCUCUGAGCACAUCUUGCCAACAUAAUGUUGAGUGAAAGAAGCCAGUUUCCCCCAACGGACUUACUGUAUGUUUUCAUUUACAUAAAGUUAAAAAGUAAGUAGAAUUAAUUGGUGUGAUGUGGAGUUAGGACAGUAGUUAUUCCAGCAGGGAGGUGGGUGGUGGAGUGUCUGACCUCUGGCUGCCUAUGGUGACUUUUAUUACUAGAUACGGAGGAUGGUCACAUAGGUAUGCCCUCCUUGUAAGAGUUCAUCUAGCUGUCCACCACUGGUGAGUUGUUUACUUUUCUGAAUGUGUCAAUUCCAAUAAAAAAAGAUUAUUUGAAAGUGGA
This is a long non-coding RNA of Marmota monax (woodchuck), 4822 nucleotides long. RefSeq lists it as uncharacterized. The record is from RefSeq and is a predicted model, not a curated record. Lineage: Eukaryota; Metazoa; Chordata; Mammalia; Rodentia; Sciuridae. The transcript is spliced from 2 exons.